GAUGAACGCUGGCGGCGUGCCUAAUACAUGCAAGUCGAGCGAACAGAUGAGGAGCUUGCUCCUCUGACGUUAGCGGCGGACGGGUGAGUAACACGUGGAUAACCUACCUAUAAGACUGGGAUAACUUCGGGAAACCGGAGCUAAUACCGGAUAAUAUAUUGAACCGCAUGGUUCAAUAGUGAAAGACGGUUUUGCUGUCACUUAUAGAUGGAUCCGCGCCGCAUUAGCUAGUUGGUAAGGUAACGGCUUACCAAGGCAACGAUGCGUAGCCGACCUGAGAGGGUGAACCGCCAAACUGGAACUUAGACACGGUCCAGACUCCUACGGGAGGGAGCAGUAGGGAAUCUUCCGCAAUGGGCGAAAGCCUGACGGAGCAACGCCGCGGGAGUGAUGAAGGUCUUCGGAUCGUAAAACUUUGUUAUUAGGGAAGAACAAAUGUGUAAGUAACUAUGCACGUCUUGACGGUACCUAAUCAGAAAGCCACGGCUAACUACGUG
RNAcentral lists this ribosomal RNA (497 nucleotides) under uncultured bacterium. RNAcentral describes it as "partial 16S ribosomal RNA". It matches the Rfam family "Bacterial small subunit ribosomal RNA", at positions 28 to 507 of the family's 1533-position model. The record is from RNAcentral.